RNAcentral lists this long non-coding RNA (556 nucleotides) under Chrysemys picta bellii (western painted turtle). Its description in RNAcentral is "lncRNA (ENSCPBG00000023697.1)". The record is from RNAcentral. Lineage: Eukaryota; Metazoa; Chordata; Testudines; Emydidae.
AGUUUGUGGAGCAUCUGCUGGUGGUCCAGGAGAGCUGGCUGGUCAUGUGGUGCUUCCCUUUCAUUUUUCAUUUCAAAAAAAGGCCAGUGAAAAUAAGGAUAAGGAGGCAGUUUGCUGCUAAUGGCUGUUUCUACCCGGGGGAAGAGAAGAAAGGAGUCUGGAGCUGCUAAUUAAGGACUGGAGCCACCAGUGGGACUGAGGCUACCAAACAUCCACAGCAGAAGAAUGUCCAGGGAAGUAACAGAGGGAAUGAGACAGCCAGGAGAAAAUUGGCUUCUCAUGAAAAAUGGACACUUCUGCCAGGUUGCAUGGGAAAUAGGGAUUUGGGAACAACCUACAGGCUUCUUCUGUGUGCAUCAUAGAGACUAGACAUACUUCAGAGAUGCUGGGAUGAAGAAUUGGUUACACUCCAUUGACUUCAGAACCCUUUUUGACCUAUGGAAUCUCAGCAAGUCACUUCUCCAGCAACGUGGUAAUCCUCCAGCUGUGAUGUAUGGACUAUCUGUUGUCCUCAGAGCAUCAGCAGGUGGUCCAGAAAGAGAUGCACAAGGUGCUC